AUUGUUUGCUUUUUGUUUAUGAUGGAAAUGCAGAUAACUUCUUGGGGUUUGAGGAGGUGGUCUUCUUAUUCCCUGGAGGAUGGUGAUAGGCCAUGGCGUGCUUAUUAUAGGAGGAAGAAGGGGUCAGCUGGAGGAGUGUUGGAUGAUAACCAGUUGGAAGAUUAGACGGAUGAGGAAUUGAGCUGACGUGGAAGUUUAUGGAGGGAACUUAUGAGGGUAUAAAUACUAAAGAGUGUUUACUGUUGUGAUUAUGCAAAUUGUAAUUGAGUACUUGCUUGACGUCAUGAGUCAGCAAAGGUCGCUAUGAGACCUAGAGUAUUAUAGUUACAUUUGUACUUGGUUUACAUAUUGAUAAAGAGGAAUUACGGUUGAGAUUCAUAACAAAUUGGUGCGUUCGUGAUACUGGAUCGAAAAUUCAUGGCGGCGUGGCGAGCUCGGAGAUUCCGAUCGAUUCGUCGAUGGCGAGAUUACAAGACGAUGUCGAGUUUUUGCGGAUUGGAUGCGAUAAACUGGCUCGCGCGAGUCGAGAUUCAACAGAUCGCUUCAAUUCAUUGGAGAAACAGAUCAUCAACAUUGGAUCGGAGUCGAAUCUGAAGAUCAGAGCUCUAGAACGACAAAUGGUGUUGAUCAGUAGUACGUUGGCUCGAAUCAAAGCUCAGGCGUUUGUUCCGCAGCGAAGCGGCAAAGAAAUCGCGUCUGAUUCUUUGGAUCGUGAUCCUCAGAUACCGAUCCUUCCUUCUGCACCGGGACAGUCUCAGGAACAGUUAGGUUAUCGCGGAAUUGGAAAUUCUUUAGCAAAUCGUGAUUCGAUGUUGAAGAAAGUGGAUAUGCCUGUGUUCUCUGGUAAGUUGCCUUUUGACUGGAUCUCGAGAGUAGAGCGUUUCUUCAGGAUUGGAAAUUACAAUGAGGAGGAGAAGCUUAACCUGGUGUCAUUGAGUUUAGAAGGUGCAGUGUUGAAUUGGUUUAAUGGUGAGGUGGUGAGCGAGCCUUUUACGAUCUGGCAUCAGUUCACGGAGAGACUCUUGGAUCGUUUUUCGGGGUCAAUUGACGAUGAACCAGCGGCACGCUUAUUCUGCCUUCAAUAAACAGGGAGAUCACUGAUUAUGUCAAUGAGUUUAAAGCCUUACGGAAUCAAGUGACAGGGAUUAGCGAGAGCAAUCUGAUCAAGGUGUUUUACAAUGGACUCAAGCCAGAGAUGAAAGAAGUGAUCCGUAUGAAAGAACCUCAAGGCUUAACAAAUCAUAAGUUAGCUGUGUUGAAGAUGCAAAGCACCAAUUUUUGUAAAGUGAUGGGGUCUGAGAGGCAAGGUGGAUAUCGUUCGAAUGCAAAUCAACACGCAACGGGCUUUCAGAAGAGAAGCGUGUUUGUUCCUGAUAAGACUGUUGCUGUUCAGAGUGAUAAAGCAUGUCAGGAUAAACCAGCUCUGCGACCGAGACAAUAUCAUACUGACGCUGAAUUAGACAAAAUGAGAAAGGAAGGAAUUUGUUUCAAGUGUAAAGGGAAAUGGUUUCGGGGUCAUCCUUGCAGUAGCCCUGAACUGCAGAUUAUGUUGGUAUCAAAUGGGUUAACGUUGGAGGUAUUGGAGGAGAGUAUGGUGGAAAUGAUCGAAUUGGAGGAUGAAGAGGUGCAUGCGGCUCCACACGAGUUGAUGACAUUGUCAUUCAAUGCUUUUAUGGGCCGUACUUCACCAACAACAACCAGAGUGCAUGGGAAAAUUGGGAAGAUGGAUGUGGUGAUGUUAUUGGAUAGUGGUGCUUCUCAUAACUUUGCAUCACCAUCUCUUAUGACUAAGUUGCAUAUUAUGUCAGCUGCAACACCAGAGUUGGAAAUCACAUUGGGCACUGGAGUUUCAGUGAAAGGAAUGGGAGUGUUUCAGUCUGUGCCCUUUGGAAUUGAGGAGUUGCGAUUAACUUCAGACUUUAUUGCGUUGGAGUUGGGCAAUAUUGAUCUGGUGCUUGGUGUUCAAUGGUUACGCACAUUGGGAAAGGGUUUAGUGGAUUGGGAGGAGCAAGUAUUUUUUUUUUGGCAUGAGGGCUCUUGGGUGACAAUACGAGGAGAUCGUUCUUUGCAUGACACCCCUACUCUGCAGAUGCUGCAUUGUUAUCGCUCACAUGCAGUUCUACUAUUAGUUGGAGAGUUUGCUAAUACAGAAGUGACGGUGGAAGAAACGAUUCCUGUAGAGCUCAAGGGGGUGCUUCAGAGGAAUGAACACAUCUUUGAUAUACCACAAGGGUUACCACCUGAGAGGGGUCACGAGCAUGCUAUUACGUUAUUGUCUAAUUGUGGUCCUGUCAGUGUGCGUCCUUACUGGUAUCCUCACGCUCAGAAGGAAGUCAUGGAGAAGAUGGUCAAGGAGAUGCUAGAAGCAGGUAUUAUCAGACCUAGCCGGAGUCCAUUUUCAAGCCUUGUUUUGCUUGUGAAGAAGAAGGACAAGUCUUUCAGGUUUUGUGUGGACUAUCGUGCAGUAAAUAAAGCCAUGGUAUCUGAUAAAUUUCCUAUUCCUCUCAUCGACCAGCUUUUGGAUGAGUUGCAUGGUGCAAAAGUUUUUUCAAAGCUUGACCUUCGUUCUGGCUACCACCAAAUCCGUAUGCGAGCGGAAGACAUUGAUAAAACAGCGUUUCGCACUAUGGAUGGUCACUACGAGUUUCUUGUUAUGCCAUUUGGUUUAAUGAAUGCACCAGCUACGUUUCAGGCGCUUAUGAAUGAGAUCUUCAGUCCAUUUCUGAGGCGUUUUGUUCUGGUAUUCUUUGAUGAUAUACUAGUUUACAGCGCGACAAUGGAGGAUCAUGCUAUUCAUCUUCAACAAGUUUUGGAGGUUCUUCAUCAACAAAAGCUUUUCGCCAACAGAAAAAAAUGUUCCUUUGGUCAGGAGUCCAUUGAGUAUUUAGGACACAUUAUUACAGCUAAAGGGGGUAGCUACAGACCCGAACAAGACCAAAGCAGUUGCUAAUUGGCCUCUUCCUAAAGUCAUUAAGGAACUGAGGGGUUUCUUGGGUCUCACGGGUUAUUACCGUCGGUUUGUUAAGGAUUACGGGACCAUUGCUCGACCGCUUACUGAGAUGCUGAAGAAAGAUCUUUUUGAUUGGUCUCCACGGGCACAUUCAGCGUUUGAGGCUUUGAAAUUGGCAAUGACUUCAGCGCCGGUUUUGGUAUUACCAGAUUUCAAUGAGCUGUUUGUCAUUGAAUCCGACGCCUCGGGGUAUGGACUAGGUGCUGUGUUGAUGCAGAACGAAAGACCGGUGGCUUAUUUUAGUCGCGGCCUUACUGCUCGUGAGCAACUAAAGCCUGUGUACGAGAGGGAAUUAAUGGCUAUAGUUCAAGCAGUGGUGAAAUGGAAGCAUUAUUUGAUGGGUAGAAGGUUUGUAGUGCGUACUGAUCAGAAGAGCUUAAAGUACUUAUUAGAGCAAAGGGAAGUGUCGAUGGAUUAUCAACGUUGGUUAUCAAAGUUAUUGGGGUAUGAUUUUGAUAUUAUGUACAAGCCGGGGGUUGAAAAUGCUGCAGCAGAUGGCUUGUCCCGGAUGUCGUUCUCUGCUACAUGCACUCAUUCUCAGGAGUUGUUAGCUUUGACAGUACCAGCGUCCUUGGAGGUUCAGAAAUUGUAUAAGGAGGUUGAAACUGAUCCGCAUAUUAACACUUUGCGAGAUCAGUUAUUAAAAGGAGAAUUGAAUAAACCGGGGUAUAGUAUGAAGAAUAAUCGUUUACAUUACAAAGGGAGGUUGCUGAUUCCGCGGUCCUCUGCUUUGAUUCCUACCAUCUUUCAUGAGUUUCACUCGAGUGUGAUUGGUGGUCAUGGUGGUGUUUUGCGUACUAAGAAGCGCAUUCAAGAAGUUUUUUAUUGGGAGCAGAUGUCAAAGGACAUUAAGAAGUUUGUGGGUGAAUGCAUGGUGUGUCAGACUCACAAGUAUACAACAUUGUGUCCUGCAGGAUUGCUUCAACCAUUACCCAUACCUGAGCGAGUGUGGGAGGACAUUUCAUUGGAUUUUGUUGAGGGUCUUCCAACUUCUUCAGGAAACAAUGUUAUAUUGGUGGUGGUGGAUCGCCUCAGCAAGUAUGGACAUUUCUUGGGGUUGAAACAUUCUUUUUCAGCCUCGGAUGUGGCUCAGUUGUUCGUGAAGGAGCUUGUGAAACUUCACGGAUUUCCACAGUCAAUUGUGUAUGACAGAGACCAUGUGUUUUUGAGUUCGUUUUGGCGCGAGUGUUUUCGUUUGGCAGGCACAAAAUUGAAGUUCAGUACUGCGUAUCAUCCGCAAACUGAUGGGCAAACAGAGGUACUGAAUCAAGGGUUGGAGACGUAUCUUCGUUGCUUUGUGUCUGCGCAUCCGAAGAAGUGGUUCUCGUAUUUGGCGUGGGCUGAGUACUCGUACAAUACAAGCUUUCACACCGAUAUCCAGUGUUCGCCUUUCAAGGUUAUGUAUGGUAGGGAUCCACCUCAUUUGUUGUCGUAUGAGCGUGGGUCUACUGGCAACUAUGAGUUGGAGAAGGCUUUGCUUGAGAGAGAUGCGUUGUUACGGGAUAUUAAAACUCAUCUGCUUCACGCUCAAUAGCUGAUGAAGAAUAAUGCGGAUAAGCACAGGAGGGAUUUGCAGUUUAAUGUGGGUGAUUUGGUGUUUCUUAAGCUCCGUCCGUACCGUCAGAAUUCAGUUACUAAGCGUUUGUGCAAGAAGCUUGCGGCACGGUACUAUGGGCCUUUUCGGGUUUGGGCGAAAGUGGGUAAUGCAGCGUAUCGUUUGGAGUUACCGGUGGAGUCUAAAAUUCAUCCUGUGUUCCAUGUUUCACAACUGAAGCAGGUGUUGGGGCAUGGUCAUGAGGUUAUGCCUUUACCAUCGGUAUUAUCAGCUGAAGAUGAGUUGGUGAUUGAGCCGGCGGAUGUGUUGGAUUCUCGUUAUGAUGGAGAGGGACAUUUGGAGAUUUUGAUUCAGUGGAAAGGAUUGCCUGAUCAUGAGUCGUCGUGGGUUCGUAUGCGUGAAGCUAUGAUGGAGUUUCCAGCUGCUAAGCUUGAGGACAAGCUGAAUCUUCGUUCGGGGGGUAUUGAUAGGCCGUGGCGUGCGUAUUAUAGGAGGAAGAAGAGGUCAGCUGGAGGAGUGUUGGAUGAUAACCAGUUGGAAGAUUAGACGGUUGAGGAAUUGAGCUGACGUGGAAGUUUAUGGAGGGAACUUAUGAAAGUAUAAAUACUAAAGAGUGUUUACUGUUGUGAUUAUGCAAAUUGUAAUUGAGUCCUUGCUUGACGUCAUGAGUCAGCAAAGGUCGCUAUGAGACCUAGAGUAUUAUAGUUACAU
Molecule: long non-coding RNA, 5276 nt
Filed under: Brassica napus (rape)
Lineage: Eukaryota; Viridiplantae; Streptophyta; Magnoliopsida; Brassicales; Brassicaceae
Description: long non-coding RNA (BNAP_LNC007942)
Source: RNAcentral